RNAcentral lists this ribosomal RNA (490 nucleotides) under uncultured bacterium. RNAcentral describes it as "partial 16S ribosomal RNA". It matches the Rfam family "Bacterial small subunit ribosomal RNA", at positions 30 to 507 of the family's 1533-position model. The record is from RNAcentral.
AUUGAACGCUGGCGGCAGGCCUAACACAUGCAAGUCGAACGGUAACAGGAAGCAGCUUGCUGCUUUGCUGACGAGUGGCGGACGGGUGAGUAAUGUCUGGGAAACUGCCUGAUGGAGGGGGAUAACUACUGGAAACGGUAGCUAAUACCGCAUAACGUCGCAAGACCAAAGAGGGGGACCUUCGGGCCUCUUGCCAUCGGAUGUGCCCAGAUGGGAUUAGCUAGUAGGUGGGGUAACGGCUCACCUAGGCGACGAUCCCUAGCUGGUCUGAGAGGAUGACCAGCCACACUGGACCUGAGACACGGUCCAGACUCCUACGGGAGGCAGCAGUGGGGAAUAUUGCACGAUGGGCGCAAGCCUGAUGCAGCCAUGCCGCGUGUAUGAAGAAGGCCUUCGGGUUGUAAAGUACUUUCAGCGGGGAGGAAGGGAGUAAAGUUAAUACCUUUGCUCAUUGACGUUACCCGCAGAAGAAGCACCGGCUAACUCCGUG